GAUGAAGAACGUAGCAAAAUGCGAUAAGUAAUGUGAAUUGCAGAAUUCAGUGAAUCAUCGAAUCUUUGAACGCACAUUGCGCCCGCUGGUAUUCCGGCGGGCAUGCCUGUUCGAGCGUCAUUUCAACCCUCAAGCCCCCGGGUUUGGUGUUGGGGAUCGGCUCUGCCCUUCUGGGCGGUGCCGCCCCCGAAAUACAUUGGCGGUCUCGCUGCAGCCUCCAUUGCGUAGUAGCUAACACCUCGCAUCUGGAACGCGGCGCGGCCAUGCCGUAAAACCCCAACUUCUGAAUGUUGACCUCGGAUCAGGUAGGAAUACCCGCUGAACUUAAGCAUAUCAAUAAGCGGAGGA
RNAcentral lists this unclassified non-coding RNA (348 nucleotides) under soil metagenome. RNAcentral describes it as "partial contains 5.8S ribosomal RNA, internal transcribed spacer 2, and large subunit ribosomal RNA". The stretch from base 1 to 120 matches the Rfam family "5.8S ribosomal RNA", at positions 35 to 154 of the family's 154-position model. The record is from RNAcentral.